RNAcentral lists this signal recognition particle RNA (264 nucleotides) under Phycisphaerae bacterium. RNAcentral describes it as "signal recognition particle sRNA large type". It matches the Rfam family "Bacterial large signal recognition particle RNA". Rfam says of the family: The signal recognition particle (SRP) is a universally conserved ribonucleoprotein involved in the co-translational targeting of proteins to membranes. Archaeal SRP consists of a 7S RNA and homologues of the eukaryotic SRP19 and SRP54 proteins. The record is from RNAcentral. Lineage: Bacteria; Pseudomonadati; Planctomycetota; Phycisphaerae.
CCGUGCUAGGUGGGGCGCUGCCGGUGCCCUCUUCCCGAAAUCCGGCUUAUGCGGGACUGAAGGCUCCUGGAGGCACGCGGGGCGGUGGGCUCUGUGUCGUCGGAUCAUAUUGACGGUUGGGUCCCAUGCAGUGGAACCGAUGGACAGCGGGUCAGGACCGAGAGGUAGCAGCCCAUUCAUCGCGUUUCAGGUGCCCUGGGGUCGCCCGGCCUGAGUGAUCCGCAGCGCAUCUCAACACCCGGCGUUUCGAUAGGAGAUGCACGG